GAUGAACGCUGGCGGCGUGCCUAAUACAUGCAAGUCGAGCGAACGGACGAGAAGCUUGCUUCUCUGAUGUUAGCGGCGGACGGGUGAGUAACACGUGGAUAACCUACCUAUAAGACUGGGAUAACUUCGGGAAACCGGAGCUAAUACCGGAUAAUAUUUUGAACCGCAUGGUUCAAUAGUGAAAGACGGUCUUGCUGUCACUUCUCGCUGGAUCCGCGCUGCAUUAGCUAGUUGUUAAGGUAACGGCUUACCACGGCAACGAUGCAUAGCCGACCUGAGAGGGUGAUCGGCCACACUGGAACUGAGACACGGUCCAGACUCCUACGGGAGGCAGCAGUACGGAAUCUUCCGCAAUGGGCGAAAGCCUGACGGAGCAACGCCGCGUGAGUGAUGAAGGUCUUCGGAUCGUAAAACUCUGUUAUUAGGGAAGAACAUAUGUGUAAGUAACUGUGCACAUCUUGACGGUACCUAAUCAGAAAGCCACGGCUAACUACGUG
RNAcentral lists this ribosomal RNA (497 nucleotides) under uncultured bacterium. Its description in RNAcentral is "partial 16S ribosomal RNA". It matches the Rfam family "Bacterial small subunit ribosomal RNA", at positions 28 to 507 of the family's 1533-position model. The record is from RNAcentral.